Molecule: ribosomal RNA, 434 nt
Filed under: uncultured bacterium
Lineage: Bacteria
Description: bacterial SSU rRNA
Rfam family: Bacterial small subunit ribosomal RNA
Source: RNAcentral
AACGAACGCUGGCGGCAUGCCUAACACAUGCAAGUCGAACGAAGCCUUCGGGCUUAGUGGCGCACGGGUGCGUAACACGUGGGAAUCUGCCCUUUGGUUCGGAAUAACAGUUAGAAAUGACUGCUAAUACCGGAUAAUGACGUAAGUCCAAAGAUUUAUCGCCGAAGGAUGAGCCCGCGUAGGAUUAGGUAGUUGGUGGGGUAAUGGCCCACCAAGCCGACGAUCCUUAGCUGGUCUGAGAGGAUGAUCAGCCACACUGGGACUGAGACACGGCCCAGACUCCUACGGGAGGCAGCAGUGGGGAAUAUUGGACAAUGGGCGAAAGCCUGAUCCAGCAAUGCCGCGUGAGUGAUGAAGGCCUUAGGGUUGUAAAGCUCUUUUACCUAGGGAUGAUAAUGACAGUACCUGGAGAAUAAGCUCCGGCUAACUCCGUG